Molecule: ribosomal RNA, 459 nt
Filed under: uncultured Campylobacterota bacterium
Lineage: Bacteria; Pseudomonadati; Campylobacterota
Description: bacterial LSU rRNA
Rfam family: Bacterial large subunit ribosomal RNA
Source: RNAcentral
UCAUCGUAGGGUUAGUCGGGACCUAAGUCGAGUCCGAAAGGGGUAGACGAUGGCAAAUAGGUUAAUAUUCCUAUACCGACGGUUGUUUGUUUGAAUGAUGGGGGGACGCAUAGAGUUAAUCGAGCUCACUGAUGGAAUAGUGGGUCGAAGGACGUAGGUCGUGAAGUGGGCAAAUCCGCUUCACAUUCGACCGAGAUCUUACAGGCUCUGCAAUUGCUUCGGCAAGCGCGGAGAAUCGAUGAUACUGUCGUGCCGAGAAAAGCCUCUAAAUGAGAACAACCGUUGCCCGUACCGUAAACCGACACAGGUGGGUGAGAUGAGUAUUCUAAGGCGCGUGGAUGAACCCUGGUUAAGGAACUCUGCAAACUAGCACCGUAUCUUCGGUAUAAGGUGUGCCCUAUUUGUUAGGAGAUUUACUCUCUGAAGCAUUGAUGGGUCGCAACAAAGAGUCCCUCCCGA